CCUACGGGAGGCAGCAGUGGGGAAUAUUGCACAAUGGGGGAAACUCUGAUGCAGCGACGCCGCGUGAAGGAAGAAGUGUUUCGGUAUGUAAACUUCUAUCAGCAGGGAAGAAAAUGACGGUACCUGACUAAUAAGCCCCGGCUAACUACGUUCCAGCAGCCGCGGUACUACGUAGGGGGCAAGCGUUAUCCGGAUUUACUGGGUGUAAAGGGAGCGUAGGCGGUGCAGCAAGUCAGAAGUGAAAGCCCGGGGCUCAACUCCGGGACUGCUUUUGAAACUGUUGAACUAGAUUGCAGGAGAGGUGAGUGGAAUUCCUAGUGUAGCGGUGAAAUGCGUAGAUAUUAGGAGGAACACCAGUGGCGAAGGCGGCUUACUGGACUGUAAAUGACGCUGAGGCUCGAAAGCGUGGGGAGCAAACAGGAUUAGAUACCCCAGUAGUC
This 440-nucleotide ribosomal RNA is filed under the name uncultured bacterium. Its description in RNAcentral is "partial 16S ribosomal RNA". It matches the Rfam family "Bacterial small subunit ribosomal RNA", at positions 338 to 795 of the family's 1533-position model. The record is from RNAcentral.